UUAGUAUUAUGAUUUUGAUAUGAAACAAGGUUGUCGAUUAUUUUGAUACCUUGCUUAUUUUGUGAUUGGAAGUACCCUCGGGGACCGACCGCCGGUCCAGUUACAAUUUUGGCCAAUAUGUGCCUUGGAUCCCUUAAAAUUUGGUGACAUGCUUCGUGCAUGAUCCGGUGCUAUCUCGCGACUGAUCAUCGGCUAUAGCAUAGCGUGAAAUUAUUCCAAUCCCUAAAAAUGUUGUGGAAGGUUUAUAUAGUAAUGCUAUUCUUUAUUAGCAUUAAGUUUCAGAAAAGUUUUAUAAAUUAAAUUCGAAGUUCAUAUUGUCGCUGAAGCAUUUGUUGCCCAGUGAUAGUUAGAGCCAAGAAUGAGUUGAGAUCUUCUUAUCUGUUCAACCCGUCAUGGUCAUGCUGAUUUAGCAACUAAAUAUAUGGAAAUUUAGUCGACAAUGAUGGACACUGAAUAUUUAGGGAUUUCUUGAACUGUGGUUUAUGAACAGUUGAUUAUCAAAAGUUAUUUUGAACUUCUCAAAUCAUUUAUUUUUGAAGUUCUUGCAAAGAUAUUAUUUUAUGAGAUUUGCUGCAAUGCAAAUCAAAAUGGUUUUAAUGAUUUUGAAGUGAAUCAAUUAUUUGAUUCCAAAAUGUUUUCUCAUGAUAGAAACUUUCUCUCUCCAGUUUGGAAUUACAUUAUCAAUGUUUUGAAUAUAAAUCCAUGAUCUAUUGGAUUUGAAUUCCCUGCAUAUUAUGGAAUUACUUUAUUAUGAUUUUAAAGGUUUUCUUGCUGAGCAUUGUCGCUCACCCUUGCUAUUAUUUCUAACCCUUUCAGCUAGGGUUUAAGAUGAUUCAUCUACGUAAGCUGCGCAUAAGAUAGUUGUUGAGCGAGACUGCCAAGGAGAUGUCUGUGAGACCAGCUAUGGUUAGAAUUGUUUUAUUCCAGUUAAGUUAUAUAAUAGAUUUAUUUAUUUGGUUAUCAGUUACUCUUCUUAUCGAGGUUUAACUGAUAAUGUAGUUUAAGUUGUAAUAAGAUUUUAAGUUUUGGUUUCUGAUUUCAGUACUGUAACCUAUUAGCGAUCCUGUUUUUUUUUAGGGGGGUCAAGUGAUUUUGAUUUAAAUCUCUUUUAAAAUUUUCAGAUUUUGAAAUAUCUGUUUUACCUUCUUCCACAAAAUACAGGUUUUCAAAUGAUAUUGGUUUUAGUGGCACCAAAUCCAGACCCUCGGAUUUUGGGGAUGUCACAGUUGGUAUCAGAGCUAUAGGUUAUUAGUUAUUGAAAUCAGAAUGUAGGUUGUUUAAGGAUUGUGUUUAGUGGAACCUCAUAUAGAGGUAAGAUAAGACUAUUUGGCAUAGUCUUUGUUAAUAAAAUUGUGGUUAAUAUUGGAGUAUUGAUUUUGAGUAACAGUUGAGAUAUCCUAGUUUCUAGUUUUAGAACUAGUGAGUUUGGAUUUCAGAGAAACAUGAUAGAACCUUUAGUUUCCAAUCUUUUUGAAUUUGAGAUUGACUUUCUGAGUACCUAGUACUAGCUAGACCCGUGGGUUGACCUGUCUAGUCUAGAAUAUUUCUUUUCAUCUCUACCACUUCUUGAGUAUGGUAGAGAGUCAUUUAUUGAUUUUCUAGAGAUAUAUAUAGAAUGAGUAUGAGAUUUGUUGGGUCAGAGAUUCUGUGAUUUGAGAGUUAUGUAGAAUUCAUAUAAGACUACUUGACAUAGUGUUAUGAGUAGGCUAGAACGUCAACGCUCUACAAUGCUGAUUGUAUAAAGUUGAAGACGGCUUCUAACCGUGCCAAGCUAAAUAAGACCUUUUACUAAAGUGGAUUGCGAUGAUGAAAUCUUCAAAGAAGAUUAUAAGUCAACGAUGAUAUGCGUAAUUGAUCAUUAAGAACGUCGAGAAGAAUCGUUACAAACGACACAAGACAUCAGAGGAGCCAAUCAAGAAGAUAUUUGUGAGAAUCUUGGCAAUACCUUUCUCGUUGUUCAUUAUAUUGAUUAUUUCUCAAUCAAUGAUUUGUUUUAACAUCUCUUUCAUAAAGAUGUUUGUUAAAUUGAAUUGUGAUGGAGGCUAAUAUGAUACCUAACUUUUUAGGUUAUAUAAAGCCGUGUCAAGUUUAUGAUGUGAAACUUUCACUUUCUUCAAGUGGUGAAUGCUUCUAUUUCAAUAUAUCACCAUUUACUCGUUGUGUAUAAAUAUCCUUUCUAGUUAUUCUUUUUCUCCAGAAUAACACCUUUGGAAAUUCUUCAAUGUCGAUCCAAGGCGUGUAUCAAAUUUUAAUUCGUCAAAAGAUAAUGAUCAUUUAUUUAAUUUUAAAAUUCAUUUCAUAUUUAUUUUAUCUAACUGAGAUGAACAACCUUAUUCAUAGGGGACACAAGGACUAUCUGUCUGUGUGAUAGAAGUUUGAUGGGACGCCAUCACUUGUGUGUUGUGCAUUACAAGAAGGCUAAUUACCUUUAGUAGUAUCUUUAUUAAGAUACGCAACAUCAAGUUCUCUCGAUCAUAUUGAUCUCUCAGUGCUUCUUUAUUUCCAAUCAAUUUUGACUUGAAAAAUUUUAAGUAUGACAAUUACUUUGAUAUCUAAAUUCUGAGACAUUUUAAGAGUUCAUAAUUCUGGUUCCAAUCAAUUAUGAAGGUAUGCCAACCAGGUUGUGUGAGCUAAUCAUGCUAGUACAUUUCAAGAUUUCGUAUAAGAUUACAAUUAUUAAAGCAGAUCAGGACCCGACUUGCAAGCCAUAGCAUGCUGAAGUCUCUCUUCGCUGAUUUGGGUUUCACUAUACCUAUUUUUUAUAUAAUUAAGCACACUCAUUGUAAUGACUCGGGUUUUUUUAUUAAUUAUUUAUUAUUUUGGUGGUGAUUUUGUAAAAAGGGAAGGAAUAAAAUUUUAUAUUUUAUUCCAGUUUGUUGGAUUUUCAAAAAUAAAUAUUUUAUUAUAUAAUUAAUUCUCGGUCCAGUGAGAUGUUGGGAAUUUGAUUAUUUGAAAUAUUAUGUGGAUAAUAUUUUGAGGUGCAACUAUUUGAAAUUUUAUGCAAUCAUGUGAUUAUUUGAUUUAAUUGUGGUACAUGUUAUAUGAGCAAUCUUAAUUGUUUAUUUUUUUGUCCGAGUGAGUAGUUUAGAAAUUUAGUUUAUUUUUAUAAAUCAGAGUAGUUAUUUGAUUUAGGAAUAUCAGGAAUCUGUGUUUACUUAUAUUACAAAAUUUUGUCCGAGCGGUUAAGUUAGAAUUUAGAUUUAUUAUACUGUCUUCAUUAAAAUUGUUUUUAGUUUUUAAAAAUCAAAAUCUGUAUUUAAUUGCGUCAAUAUUUUAUUCAAGUGAACACUACCGAAAUAUUUCAGUUUUGGUAUUUUAAUGUUUUGACUGAUUUAAAAAUAUUCAAAAGUCUUGCGAAUGAUUAUUUUAAUUAUUUGCCAUUUUAAAAAUCAAUUAUGGGCAAUUAAAUAUAAGAUUUUCAAAUGAUUUAAAAUAAAACUUUUUACGUAUUUUACCCAUUCGGGAUUUUACAAGAAUUGUGGUAUAUUUUAUAUUGAUUUUGAAAAUUAUUUUUGAACCCCAAAAAUUAUUUUAUUGGCUUUUGAUAAAAUUGAGGGUGUGAUUUCUAGUAACAUAAAUUAGUUUUUAUUAAAAAGCAGGUGGAUCAGAGUAUACGUAGUAGCUGCAUAGAUGUGCCGUGUACUGUUAGUCAGUGGGUCCAUAGAUAAAAGAUAAUACUAGCAGAUAAACAUAUCACACAAAAAUACACGCUCGACUUAAGCCAAGAGAAUUAGGGUUUUGGGGAUUUGGGGGAAACCAUCAGAUGGGAUCAAGCAGAGAAACAAAGGUGAGGAUUGUUUUUGAUAUAUGUUAAAUCGUGUGUAUGAAUAUGUAUGCUAUUGUGUUGUUGAGAGAUAUUGUUGUACUGGAGAUGGAUAUGGUUCGUGUGUUGGCCGGAGGGAGCGGUGGUGUUAAGGCCGGCGGCGGCUCGCCGCUUGUGAAGUGGGUGUGUUUAAUGCGUCGGAGAUGGCUGAGAUGACAGGGUCGGUACGAUCAGGUGAGAAGGCGACUGUUUCGUCGCCGAUCGGAGCCGCGCGGAGGAAGGCAAACAGCCACCUAGCGGCUGUUCCGAUGGCCGGAAUCCAUGGAAGGCUGGGGAAGACGGCCUGAAGUGGAGAGAGAGAAAGAGAGAGAGGGGUGGCUGGGCUGUGGUGAUGCCGGAGUCCGGCGAGAGGACCGCCGGAAAAGAGGCAGCAGCAUGGGCUGUUGGAAUUUUCGGAAAGACAAAAACGAAUGUUAAUUUUGUUUUUAUUAUUUUUAUUAUUGUUAUUAUUAAUAAAUGAUAACAAUAAUAUAAAUAAUAUUAAUAAAAUUAAUAUAUAAUUUUGAUUGUUAUAUUUAAUUGCAAAGUGUAUUAUUAUUAUUAUAAUACAACGUGGUUAUUAAACAUAGACUGUGGUCCUCAAUUGUUGUAUCGGUUUAUUAUUGUUGAUAACAUGUUUAGUUAUAAAUUAGGGUGGAUUAGACAUGAGAAUUUGAUUGUGGUGGAUAAGUAUUGUGUUGGUUGUUUGUUGAUUGUUGGGAUUGCCUUAUUACAAAGGAAGUGCUGUCCGAAUUAUUAUUAUUAUUUUUUUUUUUUUUUUUACAUUUGGAUUUGAAUUGAGAAUCGAAUUAAGAUUAUAAUUCGGAUUCUGAUUGAAAUUUGGACAGAGAUUCUUGGAUUACUAGUUAUGAUUAAUUAUAAUUAAUAAAGCAUGUCAAUCUCGUGAUACGUGACAAUGUGAUUACGUGUUUAAAUUAUGAAUAUUACAUGUAUAUAAUAAUUGAAAAAUAUUUAUAUACCACGAAGGGUAGAAUUAGAUUUCGGUUCGAUUUCUUGAUUUAGACGACAAUCUGGUUUGUUCGUCAACUAAAUUACAUUUUGUUAUCAUAUAUAGUCGGCUGAGACUCGUUUAUCAAGGACGUUCAGAAUAGUUGAUUUGUGUUUUCAGAUUGUGUUGAGCCAGAAGCGAGUUGCCAAGGAAAUAUAUUAUUUUCGAGUUGCGUGACUGUGCAGUCACAAGUUGUUCUAUUAGAGGCAAGUAUCUUUAUCGACGACUUGCACUUAUUUCAAGUAAAAUUUUAUCUCGUCUAUUUAAAAAGAAUCAUUCAUAUUCAUAUUUUGCUAUGUCCAUUAGUAGUGCAUGUCAUAUAUUUAAAAAUACAAUAUUAUUAAUUAUCCCUUGUAUAACUACUACAAGUAUUCUGUUUGACAUCUCUUUAUAACCAAUCAUAUUUUAUUUUCUUCACUCAAUAAACAUUUUCUGCUACUGCACACAAGCAUUCAUGAUCUUUUGAAUCUCUUUAUAAAAUUUUAGUUGUUUUCAGCAUUUUAAAAAGAUAAGCUGAUUAAGCUUUGAAAUUAUUAAUUAAAGAUCUUCAAUUAUUCUCUCUCCUAUAUUUGAACAUGUACUCUUUACGAGUAUAUUAGUUACCUGAAUUACAUUACACAACUUCGAGCAUGAAAGCUAUUUUACUUGCAUCAUUAUGUUGGACAUGUGUACACUCACAUCAUGUUUACAAUAUUUUAUCAACUGUUGUUUUCUAUAAAUGUUUCCUCUGAAAAGAACUUUUAUUUAAUGUUCUAGAAAUGCUGAACUGUUAAUCUAACGGUUAGUAUUAUGAUUUUGAUAUGAAACAAGGUUGUCGAUUAUUUUGAUACCUUGCUUAUUUUGUGAUUGGAAGUACCCUCGGGGACCGACCGCCGGUCCAGUUACAAUUUUGGCCAAUAUGUGCCUUGGAUCCCUUAAAAUUUGGUGACAUGCUUCGUGCAUGAUCCGGUGCUAUCUCGCGACUGAUCAUCGGCUAUAGCAUAGCGUGAAAUUAUUCCAAUCCCUAAAAAUGUUGUGGAAGGUUUAUAUAGUAAUGCUAUUCUUUAUUAGCAUUAAGUUUCAGAAAAGUUUUAUAAAUUAAAUUCGAAGUUCAUAUUGUCGCUGAAGCAUUUGUUGCCCAGUGAUAGUUAGAGCCAAGAAUGAGUUGAGAUCUUCUUAUCUGUUCAACCCGUCAUGGUCAUGCUGAUUUAGCAACUAAAUAUAUGGAAAUUUAGUCGACAAUGAUGGACACUGAAUAUUUAGGGAUUUCUUGAACUGUGGUUUAUGAA
RNAcentral lists this long non-coding RNA (6079 nucleotides) under Daucus carota (carrot). RNAcentral's name for it is "long non-coding RNA (DCAR_LNC007666)". The record is from RNAcentral. Lineage: Eukaryota; Viridiplantae; Streptophyta; Magnoliopsida; Apiales; Apiaceae.